UACAGAGGUCCCGAGCGUUGUUCGGAUUCACUGGGCGUAAAGGGUGCGUAGGUGGUGAGGCAAGUCGGAUGUGAAAUUCUGGAGCUUAACUCCGGAACGGCAUUGGAAACUGCCUUGCUGGAGGGUUGGAGGGGGGACUGGAAUUCUCGGUGUAGCAGUGAAAUGCGUAGAUAUCGAGAGGAACACCGGUGGCGAAGGCGAGUCCCUGGACAACACCUGACACUGAGGCACGAAAGCUAGGGGAGCAAACAGG
Molecule: ribosomal RNA, 253 nt
Filed under: uncultured bacterium
Lineage: Bacteria
Description: partial 16S ribosomal RNA
Rfam family: Bacterial small subunit ribosomal RNA
Source: RNAcentral